GCCUUUUCCAGGGCCACUCCCACUGCGUAUGGAGGUUCCCAGGCUAAGGGUCCAGUCGGAGCUGUAGCUGCCAGCCUACACCACAGCCACAGCAACGAGGGAUCCGAGCAGCAUCUGCGACCUAUACCACAGUUCAUGGUAACGUCAGAUCCUUAACCCAAAGAAUGAGGCCAGGGAUCAAACCUGCAACCUCAUGGUUCCUAGUUGGAUUUGUUAACCACUGCGCCACGAUGGGAACUCCAUGCUGCUUUAUUUUCUUCAUAUAUAUUAACUAUAAACAUUUCAAAAGUAUAACUUAAAAUACAGCAAAAAGCGUUCUCCAAAAAGCAUUUAGAUCUGACGAAGCCCACAGAUGAAUCCAGGUCCCCCUGCCCCAGCCUCGUACCUCUACUCUCCAGCAUUCUUACUUUGCUUAAUUAAUUAAAUGUGAAAUGUAAUCUGCCUUCUAGAUGAUACAAAGAAAGCUUUCAACCCAAGGGUUUUAAAAUUAAAAUCUUUUCAGGGAGUUUAGUUUUGCAAAAUGAAAGACAGCUUAUGUUGCCGGCUCCCACUGGGACACUUUUCUGGAUAUUGAAGGAGAAUCUGGUUCAUAAAGUGUGGGGAGAAUGUUCGUCUGGUUUAUUAAAGACAAAUCUUAGGGGACAGAGGUGAGUAUGUUUGUGCUCCCUUUAAAAAUGUAGGCAUUCCUUAGGAAAAACCUACCUGCCUUUCCUAUGGAUUUUUGAACACUUACUUGCUUUUUCAUUUAAUUGAAAAAUAAUGUACGUUUUUUCUCUUUUCCAUGCGCAUGUUAAGUUUUUCAUUUGAGGGCACUGUUAUUUGAUCUAUACUGUAAAGAUAUGUCUGUUGCAAGUCAUAUGCACACAAGGUAAGUAAAAUGCUUUAUUCUGUUUAUAUUUCAAGAAACACAGACCAUAUCGCCAUAGGUUUUGGAGUGAGGUGAUGGUCACUGGUGAAAAGUGCAGGCAUCUAGAGACAGUAACACCACUUAUGGUGAGCUGUCACUGUCAUGCAAAAAUCAGAAUUAGUGAAAUCAACUGCUCCCUGGCAAAGCACCGUGAAGAUGGUUUUCUCCUGUCGAGGGGAUGCCGGAAAGAACCCGCAUAAAGUUCACUCACUGAUAAGAACGCUUCUCCCUGCUGCCUGAAGAGUAGUCGUACUGGUUUUGCAACUCAGGCGGAUGAUUACUGCAGCCUCAGCAGCCAGAGGAUCAACAUUUGUCUCUCGGGGUCAACAGGACCAACAGAAAUGUUCACUCCAAGUUCCUUUCCUUUGACGGCUCCCGAGACGGGAGGGCGCGGACCUGUGUGUACACGCAGGUGAAGGGCAGCGUUGCGUCCGGAGCCAGCCCCACUCCUGCGACAGUCUGGGGACAUCCGCAGCCAUCCAUUUCAGAGCUGGGGAAUAACUGAGAGACCCUCUAGCCACUUCCUCAUUUUACAGAUGAGGAAAGUGAGACCCAGGAGCGACUUCCUGGAGGUGGGUCAGGCAGGUAACUCGAGACGAAGUCUCCUCUUGCCUCCGCACUUUGCUCAAAGCCAAAUUAACUGUAACCAGGGAACAUAGAAGAUGACACCACCAAGUCACCAAGGCAGAGGCCGCAAGUAAACCAAGCUGUCCAAGCCAUUACUUCCAAGGCUGACGGGGAGUGUUGUUACUUCUGGUGGGGAGACUGUUAACACGUGAACCUAUUUUAAUGGCACUCUAUGUCUCCUCGUGCAGUAUGAGUGGAAUUAAGUGUUACCACCUAUGAACCAUUCUUGCCCCCCCCCCCAUCAAACCUGAGUCUGAUAAAGGCUCUAGAUGGAACUGCCAGUUGCCGGGAAAUCCAGAGGGUAGAGGAAUAAGUUAAACCAUCGCAGGGAUGCCACUGGCCAAAUCCAGAGGGGAGAAUUCUAGUAGAUGGUCCAGUUUCUUCAACAGUGACAAAAGAAUGAAGAUAGGAAAGAAAGAAGUCAGAAAAGAGAGUGUUUUUAUCCACUAAACGAGACUAAGAGAUACUAAUCAAGUAUGCUAUUAAGGUUCUAUUUUUUUUUUUUCUUUAUGGCUGCACCUGUGGCAUAUAGAAGUUCCCAGUUUAGGGAGCUGGAGCUGCAGCUGCGGGCCUACACCACAGCCAUGGCAACGCCAGAUCUGAGGUGCAUCUGUAACCUACACUGCAGCUUUCAGCAAUGCUGGAUCCUUAACCCACUGAGCGAGGCCAGAGAUUGAACCCACAUCUUCUUGGAGACUAUGUCAGGUUCUUAACCUACUGAGCCACAGCAGGAACUCUCUAAGGUUCUACUCUUAAUAAUUUUAGGUGUGUGUUUUUUAGAGCUGCAAAUAGGAGUAUUUAUGAAUUAAAUGAUAACGUCUGGGAUUUGCUUUAAAAAGUCCAUGUGGGGACAGGGAAGUGGAUGCAUAAAUGAAAGAUGUGACCCACGUUGAUAGCUAUUGAAGCUGAUGGGUAUCCAUUGUAGUAGUCUUUCUACUUGUGUGUAUGUUUGAAAAAUCUCCAAAAUAAAAAGACUAGAAAUAAAAUAAAACCAAGAUAAAGAGAACAUGUAUAAUAGACUCUACCUGUAUCUUAUGUUGCCAAAAGAUUUUAUAUGAUUUAAAGGAUGUUUCAAUCUAUGAUAUAUCUAUUUAAAAGUUCUCUUCCUGCAUCUUUGCUGAAUAGCAUCCCAACACUGCUGGACAGGCCCAUCCCUGUCACGUCUCUAUUCUGUGCUUCUUCUUAGAACAAUCCAUUAGCGUGUCUAGCAUACAUAAAUUCCUCGGCCAGGGAUCAAACCUGCACCACAAUAGUAACAACACCGGAUCCUUAACCCACUGAGCUACCAGGGAACUCCUUUUAAAAUUUUCUUCCCUCCUUCCUUCCUUCCCUCCUUCCUUCCUUCCUUCUCUUCUUUCUUUCUGCUAGAUUUUUUUAUAUUCCUGUCCAUGGUUCAUAGCACAGUAUUGGAUUGGUACCAAAUAAAUAAAUGAAUUUUCUGGAAAAAAAAGUUUUUCUCUUUUGCCACUUUAAUCAGUAUUUUUAUUUUUUUAUUUAAUCAAGCUUUUAUUUUUUUAUGUUGAAAUGCAAAUAUUUGUUGUUGCUAGUGUUAUUAUUCUGCUGUUACUGAAAAUGGGAAACGAUGUUAAAAAGCCUGAAAAAGGAGUUCUCUUGUGGCACAGCGGGUUAAGGAUAUGGUGUCGCAGCACUGGCAUGAGUUCGGUCCCUGGCCCAGGAACUUUCACAUGCUGUGAGUGUGGCCAAAAAAAAAAAAAAUCAAAAAAGAGUAAUAAAAUCCCAUCGAUAGCUCCCACCUUCUGCCCCCAUCCUUUGAUUUUCUAAGCUCUCUUUAUGAAUUAUUACCUUAAAAGCAUCAUUCUUGUGCAUCUGCCUUGGAGAUUUUCCAGAUUCUCAACCUCACUUAAGCUGAGAUGAUUUUAAAUUUCAAGAUAUGGGUACAAAUUUUUCCAGUAACUUUUGAAUAUUACUUUUCAUCUUUUAUAAACAAAAGUUUCAUUCACUAUAGAGAACAAGAAUUUAUCGACCAUUUAUUUAUCAUACUGUUCAAAUAAAAGUCACAUAAGACUUUCCCACACAGCUUUCUGAAACUCCGUUUCUUCCUUUCCGUGAUAGAAUUCAAAGCCUACUAACUUACCUCGAGAAAUUGAAAGGGUUGUGGCCGGUCCUCUUCAGAGAUGGUCACCAGCCCUCUUCCCACCCUCUACACGCGGCUGCUCUUUCCAUCAAGAGGUGGAGUCAUCUCCCCUGACACUGAAACUCCAUCAGCCUUAUGGCUUAUAUUCAUCAAUUAAAUGUGAUGAAAAUGACCCGACGCCAGUUCUAGGCCACAGCCUUCAAAGGCCUGGCAGCUUUUGCUUUCACCUCCCUGGAGCCUUGCACUGCAGUGUGCAGUAAGCUUGACUUGAGUCGAGCUCUCCUGAUGAGAGAGAAGCCCCGUGGAGGACCACGGGUGCCCAGCGAUGGGCAGCACCGAGGUCAUGAGUGUGGCCAUCUUGGAUUCUUUAGCCUUUCCUGAGUCUAGCUCACACUAGGUGGAUCAGAGAUGAGAGAUUUCCACUGAGCUGCAACUGAAGACCCACAGAAUGACUUUUUUUUUAAUGUUUUGGCCAUGACCGCAGUAUGUGGUAGUUCCAGGGCCAGGGAUCAGACCUGUACCACAGCAGCAAUCUAAGCUCCAGCAGCAAUAAUGCCAGAUCCUUAACCCACUGCACCACCUGGAAACUCCCAGAAAGGCUGUUUUAAGUGACUCAUUUCAGGUGUAAUUUGUGACAUAGCUGUAGAAAACUGAUACAAGGAGGGAAGGUGAAGUCCUUUUUCUGUGCUCAGUAUUGUCUGUGUUUGAACUUGAAAUGCUAGUUUCUCUGCCUGUUAAAAUUCUGCCCAUCCGCAGAAGCUGCCCAGAGGUUCAAGUACAGGCUGUUUCCAGGUUGUUUCCUCCCCCAGGGCUAGGUUUAAAAUGGGCCUGGAACACAUUUGUUCCAGAAAUUCUUUCAUAUGCCAGAAAGUAAGGAAGUGCUCAAAAAAAAACAAUAGGGGCACAGCCCAAGGGAACAGGUGCCAGCUUGAAGGCUCCUGAUGGCCCAAUCUGGGACAGUUUCUCUCCAAAUAAUGAAAAGCAAUAAUAAACAAUGUAAAAAUAGGAAAUUGGAGUUUCCCUUGUGUCUCAGCACAUCACACAACCUGACUAGUGUCCAUGAGGAUGUGGGUUCGAUUCCUGGCCUCACUCAGUGGGUUAAGGAUCUGGAGUUGCCAUGAGCUGUGGUGCAGCUCACAGCUGUAGCUUGGAUGCUGCAUUGCUGUGGCUGUGGUGUAGGCCAGCAGCUGCAGGUCCGAUCUGACCCCUAGCCUGGGAGCCUUCAUAUGCCAAGGGUGUGGCCCUAGAAAGACAAAAGACAAAUAAAUAAAUAAAUAGUGCAAAUUAUGAAGCAAAUGGGGUGAAUGUUAAAACAGUAAGUGGCUCUGGAUGAGGGUGUACAAGGGUUUCUUGAGCUGUUUUUAAUUUUUGUAAUUGUUUUAAGGCUAAGAUUUUUUCCAGAUAACAAGGCUAAAAUUAUUUCCAGGUAACACGUUAGAAAAGUCCUGCUAAGAUAUUGUGCAUGAAUCUACUUUUUAGUCCUCAAAGCUACCUCCCUUCUUUGAAUGCCUGUGGCACUUUACUGUUGUUUUUUUAAAUUAUGUACAGCCUGGUAUUGUUAGGGAGUUCGUUUCAGGUUGUUCUGGGCAUCGAAGGCUGUACCUCCCCUUCUCAAUCGCAUGUCAGGGCCUAGGUAUGUUCUCUGCAGCCCCCUCGUGUCCCCUGUAGAGCGCAGGCCCAGAGGAGGCUCU
Molecule: long non-coding RNA, 5320 nt
Filed under: Sus scrofa (pig)
Lineage: Eukaryota; Metazoa; Chordata; Mammalia; Artiodactyla; Suidae
Description: lncRNA (ENSSSCG00000045751.2, ENSSSCG00110003680.1)
Source: RNAcentral